This 646-nucleotide ribosomal RNA is filed under the name uncultured Sphingopyxis sp. RNAcentral's name for it is "bacterial SSU rRNA". It matches the Rfam family "Bacterial small subunit ribosomal RNA", at positions 69 to 761 of the family's 1533-position model. The record is from RNAcentral. Lineage: Bacteria; Pseudomonadati; Pseudomonadota; Alphaproteobacteria; Sphingomonadales; Sphingopyxidaceae.
AGACCUUCGGGUCUAGUGGCGCACGGGUGCGUAACGCGUGGGAAUCUGCCCUUGGGUGCGGAAUAACUUCCCGAAAGGGAUGCUAAUACCGCAUAAUGUCGCAAGACCAAAGAUUUAUCGCCCAAGGAUGAGCCCGCGUAGGAUUAGCUAGUUGGUGGGGUAAAAGCCUACCAAGGCGACGAUCCUUAGCUGGUCUGAGAGGAUGAUCAGCCACACUGGGACUGAGACACGGCCCAGACUCCUACGGGAGGCAGCAGUGGGGAAUAUUGGACAAUGGGCGAAAGCCUGAUCCAGCAAUGCCGCGUGAGUGAUGAAGGCCUUAGGGUUGUAAAGCUCUUUUACCCGGGAUGAUAAUGACAGUACCGGGAGAAUAAGCUCCGGCUAACUCCGUGCCAGCAGCCGCGGUAAUACGGAGGGAGCUAGCGUUGUUCGGAAUUACUGGGCGUAAAGCGCGCGUAGGCGGUUUUUUAAGUCAGAGGUGAAAGCCCGGGGCUCAACCCCGGAAUUGCCUUUGAAACUGGAAAACUUGAAUCUUGGAGAGGUCAGUGGAAUUCCGAGUGUAGAGGUGAAAUUCGUAGAUAUUCGGAAGAACACCAGUGGCGAAGGCGACUGACUGGACAAGUAUUGACGCUGAGGUGCGAAAGCG